GCGAAAGUGGCGGAAUUGGCAGACGCACCAGCUUGAGGGGCUGGCGACCGCAAGGUCGUGGGGGUUCGAGUCCCCCCUUUCGCACCA
RNAcentral lists this transfer RNA (87 nucleotides) under Acidobacteriota bacterium. RNAcentral's name for it is "tRNA-Leu". It matches the Rfam family "tRNA". Rfam says of the family: Transfer RNA (tRNA) molecules are approximately 80 nucleotides in length. Their secondary structure includes four short double-helical elements and three loops (D, anti-codon, and T loops). The record is from RNAcentral. Lineage: Bacteria; Pseudomonadati; Acidobacteriota. RNAcentral also lists the same sequence under 1 other name.